UACAGAGGGGGCUAGCGUUGUUCGGAAUUACUGGGCGUAAAGCGCGCGUAGGCGGCCCUGCAAGUCGGGGGUGAAAGCCCGAGGCUCAACCUCGGAACUGCCUUCGAUACUGCGGGGCUCGAGUCCGGGAGAGGUGAGUGGAAUUCCUAGUGUAGAGGUGAAAUUCGUAGAUAUUAGGAAGAACACCAGUGGCGAAGGCGGCUCACUGGCCCGGUACUGACGCUGAGGCGCGAAGGCGUGGGGAGCAAGCAGG
Molecule: ribosomal RNA, 253 nt
Filed under: uncultured bacterium
Lineage: Bacteria
Description: partial 16S ribosomal RNA
Rfam family: Bacterial small subunit ribosomal RNA
Source: RNAcentral